GGCCGGUUGGCCCAAUGGUAAGGCGUCUGACUACGAUCAUCCUCUUAGAGGUUGGAGUUAAUCAGGAGAUUCUGGGUUCGAGCCCCAGGCUGGUCA
This is a transfer RNA of 96 nucleotides. It matches the Rfam family "tRNA". Rfam says of the family: Transfer RNA (tRNA) molecules are approximately 80 nucleotides in length. Their secondary structure includes four short double-helical elements and three loops (D, anti-codon, and T loops). Further hydrogen bonds mediate the characteristic L-shaped molecular structure. tRNAs have two regions of fundamental functional importance: the anti-codon, which is responsible for specific mRNA codon recognition, and the 3' end, to which the tRNAs corresponding amino acid is attached (by aminoacyl-tRNA synthetases). tRNAs cope with the degeneracy of the genetic code in two manners: having more than one tRNA (with a specific anti-codon) for a particular amino acid; and 'wobble' base-pairing, i.e. permitting non-standard base-pairing at the 3rd anti-codon position. The record is from Rfam.